Molecule: ribosomal RNA, 237 nt
Filed under: uncultured bacterium
Lineage: Bacteria
Description: partial 16S ribosomal RNA
Rfam family: Bacterial small subunit ribosomal RNA
Source: RNAcentral
UACGGAGGGGGUUAGCGUUGUUCGGAAUUACUGGGCGUAAAGCGCACGUAGGCGGAUUAGUAAGUUAGUGGUGAAAUCCCAGGGUCAACCUGGAACUGCCUUUAAUACUGCUAGUCUUGAGUUCGAGAGAGGUAAGUGGAAUUCCGAGUGUAGAGGUGAAAUUCGUAGAUAUUCGGAGGAACACCAGUGGCGAAGGCGGCUUACUGGCUCGAUACUGACGCUGAGGUGCGAAAGUGU